CCAGACUCCUACGGGAGGCAGCAGUGGGGAAUAUUGCACAAUGGGCGAAAGCCUGAUGCAGCAACGCCGCGUGAAGGAAGAAGGCCUUCGGGUCGUAAACUUCUGUCCUUGGGGAAGAAGAACUGACGGUACCCAAGGAGGAAGCCCCGGCUAACUACGUGCCAGCAGCCGCGGUAAUACGUAGGGGGCAAGCGUUAUCCGGAUUCACUGGGUGUAAAGGGAGCGUAGACGGCGACGCAAGUCUGGGGUGAAAGCCCGGGGCCCAACCCCGGGACUGCUCUGGAAACUGCGUCGCUGGAGUACGGGAGGGGCAGGCGGAAUUCCUGGUGUAGCGGUGAAAUGCGUAGAUAUCAGGAGGAACACCGGCGGCGAAGGCGGCCUGCUGGACCGUGACUGACGUUGAGGCUCGAGAGCGUGGGGAGCAAACAGGAUUAGAUACCCUGGUA
RNAcentral lists this ribosomal RNA (446 nucleotides) under uncultured bacterium. RNAcentral's name for it is "bacterial SSU rRNA". It matches the Rfam family "Bacterial small subunit ribosomal RNA", at positions 331 to 792 of the family's 1533-position model. The record is from RNAcentral.